RNAcentral lists this ribosomal RNA (492 nucleotides) under uncultured bacterium. RNAcentral's name for it is "partial 16S ribosomal RNA". It matches the Rfam family "Bacterial small subunit ribosomal RNA", at positions 29 to 507 of the family's 1533-position model. The record is from RNAcentral.
AGUGAACGCUGGCGGUAGGCCUAACACAUGCAAGUCGAACGGCAGCACAGUAAGAGCUUGCUCUUACGGGUGGCGAGUGGCGGACGGGUGAGGAAUACAUCGGAAUCUACUUUUUCGUGGGGGAUAAUGUAGGGAAACUUACGCUAAUACCGCAUACGACCUACGGGUGAAAGCAGGGGAUCUUCGGACCUUGCGCGAUUGAAUGAGCCGAUGUCGGAUUAGCUAGUUGGCGGGGUAAAGGCCCACCAAGGCGACGAUCCGUAGCUGGUCUGAGAGGAUGAUCAGCCACACUGGAACUGAGACACGGUCCAGACUCCUACAGGAGGCGGCAGUGGGGAAUAUUGGACAAUGGGCGCAAGCCUGAUCCAGCCAUACCGCGUGGGUGAAGAAGGCCUUCGGGUUGUAAAGCCCUUUUGUUGGGAAAGAAAAGCAGCAGGUUAAUACCCCGCUGUUCUGACGGUACCCAAAGAAUAAGCACCGGCUAACUUCGUG